CUAGGCUGAAGUCCGCUGGAUAGGGUAUUUAGUUGUUAACUAAAGUUUUACGGGAUCAAGGCCCGUCAGUCUAGG
RNAcentral lists this transfer RNA (75 nucleotides) under Christinus marmoratus. RNAcentral describes it as "tRNA-Asn". The record is from RNAcentral. Lineage: Eukaryota; Metazoa; Chordata; Lepidosauria; Squamata; Gekkonidae.